Molecule: long non-coding RNA, 3148 nt
Organism: Chelonia mydas (Green sea turtle)
Lineage: Eukaryota; Metazoa; Chordata; Testudines; Cheloniidae
Exons: 7
Source: RefSeq, a predicted model, not a curated record
ACAGCUGUAGCUACUAGAGAGAUGAGGGUUUCCUAAGAAAGGACUCCUUUAGCAACAGUCUGGUAAGAAGAUACUCAGGAACUGGACUUCCAGAGUGGGAGAUUCAGAUGGUGAGUCUGGGAAAAGCUUAAAGGAGAGAUAAGAAAGGAAGCAACAAAGGAUUGGGAGGAACUGGUUUCAACUGCUUCAUACAGGAUCCCUGGGCUAAAACCCAGAGAAUUGGGUGGGCUUGGGAUCCCCUGCCAUCCCCAGCAGAGGGGAUAGUAAGGACUUUAGAGAAAAGGGGUCAAGACCUUGUGGGAGCCUAGGACUACUGACCCUUUGCUGGGCACAUAAGACUCCCUGGGACAUCAGACUCUUUUUGUUGCCCUGGAAGGAGAGAGGCAACGAAUGACCUGGCUGGAGCCAUAACAAGAAACCACCAGACACAGAACUAAAUGAUUAUUGGCAGAAUGGGAGAAAACUUCCCCAGGCUAGUUGCAGUAAAAGGGGACAGCUGGUGAAAGCACCCCUGGAUGAGGGCUAAUUCAGCUGUGCUGUAAGCUGGCAUAACUCUAUUGAGGCUAAAGGGGCUGUACCUGUUUUCACUAUCCCAUCUCAGGGAGGGAAGUUCUUGCAGUAUUUGGCAGUAGGGGAAAGUCCUGGAAGCAAAGCUCCUGUAUGAGUCGUACGGUGUAGAGGCUGAAGUGAGUUCAGCAAAGGAUGGUUUGGGCAGCAGCAGCAGCGUGGAGACAUUCCCAGCCUCUACAUUAUUGGAUCCUUCUGACAAAGCACAGCCAGAGGGGUUCUCAGAGCAUGUGUAACACUGAUGGAUGGAAACAUUUAUGUCCACAUAGAGAAAGUCAUACUGCCUAGGAGACUGCUGGGUGUGUAAUAUCGGGCCCUCGGUCCAUGGCUGAAGCUGCAGAGAUGAUGCAGAUCACCAGUGGGCACCCUGCAAAAUUCAGAGAUGGCGACAGUGUCAAAACUGCACCUGAUGCUUCCCUUCAGAAAACCAGCUCCUCAGAGCAUUGUGCCUCUAAGCCUUGGAACUAAGAAGGAGCCAUGCCUGGAGACGGAAGACCCACAGGUUGGGGUGAAGGAUCAGCCCAUUGUUUUGAGAGAGCAGGACCUUCAACAGAAGAGGAAACUGGGAAAAGGCAUACAAGAGGGCCCCGUCCCAUGGGAGGAUGAGGGCAUCUCCCAGUGACUGUUUCCCCAGGCCAGCCCUGAAGCAGUAACGAGGACAUUUCUUGUUCUGUGUAGAUUCCCAGAGAGCGUAAUGUGCUCCAGGAAUCCUUCAGGAUGUGGAGAGAAGAAUCUGUCUUCUCCAUGAAGAGUUUGGGCCCUUCAAAUUGGAAGUCUUCUGCAGCUCUUUGGGCAAUCCAGAAAGGUGUAGCCCAGAAGCCUACCUCAGUACCACUGUCAUGGAGACCGAGCGGGCAGCUGUAUCAGCUACAUCCAGUGCUGUCUCUAGCACCAGUCUGGCUAUUAACUGACCCUCUCUAAGAAUGGUCUGAAACUGUUCCUUUUAUGUUCCAGUAAAUGUUCCAGAAAUGCACUGAGUUUCCCAUAAUUAAUGAAAUUGUAUUUGGCCAUGACAAUUUGGUAAAGUCGCCAACAAAUACACCAUCUUGCCAAGCCCGAUCAUAUGGGGUCAGUUUGGCAUUAUGUUGCUUGCUUCAUGCAUUAACCACAUCCCUUGUGAUGGAUUUGUGUUGCAGACAUUGAAACAGUCUGCCUGUUUGGGAGGGAUGUAGUAUUUUUUUUCUUAAUUAUUUUUUAUUUCUGGUUGAUGCAAUGGAGGCUGGUGUCUGCCAGAUGACUUUGGUAGGAUCUAGAAUCACCUCAUAAAUUGGGAGGGCAGUUGAGCAGGAAGUGAGGGGAAUUCCCCCGUGCGGGACUAGAUAGCCGCGAGGGAGGGAGAGCACAUGUGCAGGCUCAAUGAACGCUGCUACCCAAAAUCUCUGAUUAGAGGCGCAGGGGUGCACAUGCGCUUACAGUGAAGCACCCAUAGGGACACUACUCAAAGAAGAAGUAUAUUUAUUUCAAGCUCCUGGAAAGACCAUUUAUUGCCUGGCUGGGAAAAGUAUAUUCUCUAAUUUGUUUAGCAGGAGUAGAGUUAAUCUCAUCUGAUACGAUUUUUUUUUCCCAUUGGGUUAUCCCAGCCCUAGAGAAGGGCACUGGAUCUAACUCAACCAAGUGGCAGCAAAUAAUCAACAUUCAAAUGGAUGGAAACUAAAUGCCCAAUUCUAACUAGUAAUCAAAGGGAAAAGAAAAAUGCCUGCAAUGCUGGGAACGGGUUAAGUACAACAUUCCACUGUAGUAACUUUCCACACAACAACCGAUAUCAUCAAUGUCUGACAAAUGGGUGAGAGGGGGAAGGUGUUUUGAAAGUUUUGAUAUAUUGAUCUCUAUAUGUUAUCCUGAAUCACCAAGGCAACAGAGCAUUAUUCCAACCAGUCUCUAGCUAUUUUUAAAGGUAUUCCCUUCUUAGAAUCAAUCAUCUUUUGAAUUACUGACAACUGUAGGUAUCAAAGUAAUUCUAGCACUCUUUGGACUGAUGAUAAUACACAGAGACUUCAGAUGAUUCAGAACAUUUGGUAAUCUGUCUCUCUGCUGAAUUCAUUUUACUGAAGUAAUUUCUCUCAGCCAUCACAGAAUAUGGUAGGAUAUUUCUUGACAUUCAAUCCAGAGCUUACUUGUUCCCAUCUCCUGUCAGAUUUUGCCCCUAGUUUCAACUCUUCAUUAAUCCAGAUGCUGCAAAACUGUACUCUCACAAGAGAUUCAAUGGGAAUGCUGAUGCAAGGACUAUUUGCUUGGGUUUGUAAAAAUCAGACUCACAUUUUGCACACUCCAGGACCUAUGAAUGUGCAAAGGGUGGUCGUCUUCACAUGUGAGAUAAGACUGAAAGAUGAAGACAGGGCAAUCUGCUUUGACUGGUCCAAGAUGAGUCAUCCUCUUCAACAGCUUUAAUUCACUUUGGGUCAGUAUCAUGCUCCAGUUGGUGAAAAACUGGCCACAGCUGUCAGACAUCAGGAAAUUCACAUACACAAAUGUCUGAGGGCAACAGGCUAGUUUGCACUGCAGUGGUCAAAAGAGGUUCACUCACUCACGUGCUACAACUUCCACAGUUGAACACAGAUUUGUAUGAAGAGACAAAACCUUU